This 253-nucleotide ribosomal RNA is filed under the name uncultured bacterium. RNAcentral's name for it is "partial 16S ribosomal RNA". It matches the Rfam family "Bacterial small subunit ribosomal RNA", at positions 524 to 776 of the family's 1533-position model. The record is from RNAcentral.
UACGAAGGGGGCUAGCGUUGUUCGGAAUCACUGGGCGUAAAGGGCGCGUAGGCGGCCGUUUAAGUCGAGGGUGAAAUCCCAGGGCUCAACCCUGGAAUUGCCUUUGAUACUGUUUGGCUUGAGUCUGGUAGAGGUUGGUGGAACUGCGAGUGUAGAGGUGAAAUUCGUAGAUAUUCGCAAGAACACCGGUGGCGAAGGCGGCCAACUGGACCAGCACUGACGCUGAGGCGCGAAAGCGUGGGGAGCAAACAGG